UCCUGUGCCAUGUGCUCUGGGAUGACCCUGCUUGAGCAGGGAGGUGGGACCAGAUAACCCAUGGAGGUACCUUCCAGCCUGGACCCAUCCUGUGAUUCAACGCUGCCAUCAGCUUGGAAACUGAAUCCCACCAACUCGAGACGGUGACUCCACCACCUCCCCUGGGCGGCCGACGGCGGGGCUGAGGCCGGACCCGGCUGCGCCCUGAGCCCGGACCCGGCGCUGCACCCUGAGCUCCCGAGGAAAGCUUAUCUAUAAAAAGGGACGCCCACAGUGUCCAGGUGGUGCCCCUGUGGACCGCGGAUCUCUUGUUGUCCAGAUCGAUACUGGUCCCAGGACCGAUGAUCUCCUUUUCUCUCUCUCUGUCUCUCUCUUCCCACUUUAUUUUUUCUUUAUUGUUCUUUUAUUUCUCUUGCUACUAGAAGAUGAGUUAACUUAUACCAGUUUACAUGCCACAUGUAUAAUUUACUAAUAAAACUUUUAAAGUA
This is a long non-coding RNA of Corvus hawaiiensis (hawaiian crow), 488 nucleotides long. RefSeq lists it as uncharacterized. The record is from RefSeq and is a predicted model, not a curated record. The transcript has 2 exons. Lineage: Eukaryota; Metazoa; Chordata; Aves; Passeriformes; Corvidae.